UUCCUAGCUAAAUUCAGCAUCAUUUCUAGUACCUGCCAUUUCCUGUAAUCUUUUGCCAAAUUCAUUCUGUGGAAUUGACUUCUCAGCCCACCUCCCUUUGAUCCAAGAUGGUCUUUUAUUUGAGGAAGUAGUUUCUCCCCCCCCCUCGUUCAUCUUUGGACCUAUUGAUUGAUUGAAUGAUUGCACCAAGAGACCUUGGCCUCACUCAAGAGGCUCUGACUACCUGUAUCACUGCCUACCAUGGAAGCAGCCUGACAUUUCCACUGCCUUGAAGGAAGAGCAAUUUAUUUGCCAAACAGAUCAGGUGAAGCGAGGAAGAGCCACCUCGGAUCUAAUCUCAGGAUCUAUUUGCCCUUACUAACCCUGACUAAGUGUCUUCGCAGCUGCAGAUGUUGACACAGCAAAGACCACCAUCCUUUGCACCUCCUUAUGAAGGCUUGACUUUUGCACAAAGCCUCUGGCUCCUCCUUAACCCCGGCCGUUGCUCCUUGCUCCUCAGCUGCCUGCGAGAAUGGGGCGAAGGAGUCUGGACCUCAUCUUCUCCCUUGGACUGGUGGGGGCUAUUGGCUUGCUCUGGUGUAGGAAGUUGCUGGGUGCCCGGCUGAGGAUCCACGAACUGGCAAGGCGGCUCCUCAGGUGCGGGUGAGGGGUAUGUGUCCAGAGUUACAGGCUCUGACAGUUCGCACUGCUCUCCCAUGGGGGAGUCAGGUGACUGGGCACGCUGCACACUCUCUUCCCUCAGUCCGUCACCCCAGUCCUCCAAGAGAGUCCCCCUCCUCCAAGCCUUCCCCCCGAACCUGGGUCACAACAGUAUCCUACAAAACUGCCUGAAGCAGCUCUAGAUAUCUCCAAUAUGCCAGUCAGCACUACACACACCAAGAUAAUGUGGCUCCCCUUCCUUUCUGCUAGCGCCAAACAAUAAUUACAGGUAGCAAUUUUUUUAAAAAAGCAGACAAAUCCAAAUUCUAUGGAAAGGAGAUCUCACUUCUGCACCCAUAACUGAAUACAUACAUUAAAGAAAAUCUGCAUUUAUUUAUUUAGCACAAUUCCACAUGAAAUAAAGACACAGGAGACGUGAGUGUAGGCCACAAGUGGGGGACCUGUGCCACCCCCAAUGUUGUUGGACUACCACUCCCAUCAUCCCUGACCAUUGGCUGUGCUGGCUGAGGCUGGUGGGAUUUAGAGUCCAUUAAGACCUGGAGGGCCGUAGAUUGCCCAUCCUUGGCCUUGGCCCUCGGCCAGCUUUUCCCCAACUAUGUUGCCUCCAGAUGAUGCUGGACUACAACUCCCAUCGUCCUUGACCACUGGCUAUGCUGGCUGCGGCUGCUGGGAGAUGUAGUCUAAAACAUCUGCAGGGGACCAGUUGGAGGAAGGCUGCUGUAGGCUCUGGGAGUACUAUGUAGUUUUGCAAUUAGCGUUGCCUGCCUGUGUAAUACCUGCUCAACCUGUACCUAAA
This is a long non-coding RNA of Rhineura floridana, 1456 nucleotides long. RefSeq lists it as uncharacterized. Lineage: Eukaryota; Metazoa; Chordata; Lepidosauria; Squamata; Rhineuridae. The transcript is spliced from 3 exons. The record is from RefSeq and is a predicted model, not a curated record.